RNAcentral lists this long non-coding RNA (670 nucleotides) under Saimiri boliviensis boliviensis (Bolivian squirrel monkey). Its description in RNAcentral is "lncRNA (ENSSBOG00000036750.1)". Lineage: Eukaryota; Metazoa; Chordata; Mammalia; Primates; Cebidae. The record is from RNAcentral.
GGCUGCUUCAACCUGUUACAAUCUUAACAGUAUUUUCAUGUUUUCUUAGAAACUAGGUCUGCCUUGUCUUCAAGCAACAGGUUCAGCAAGUAGGUCCUUCGGAGGUCUAGUAAGCACUGAGGAUCUGAAGUGUAACUUCCAGAAGGCAUUGCUGUUGGUACUGAGCAGAUCUCAGCAUCUCUUCCUGACUGGUCUGUGCAAACAUUCCUUUUAAAUACCUUGGGUCAUCAUUACUGGAUCUAUUUCAUGCUUCUUGAAUCUACAGCAUGUCAGGCCCUUUCCAGUUUUUAAACCACUCAGAUCCAGGAAGGCUUGCUACUGGGCAAACCAAUGGACUCCAUGAGGCUAAGCUGUCAGAAGCCAGGCAUCUAUCAGCUCACACAUCUCAGAUAAAUAGCCAAGUGCUCAGCAACUUUCAAGAAACUAUUAUGAAGAUGUUGAGAUCUGACAUGAAAACAGCAGACAAGGAAAUCAUCAAUUGGCUAAAGCUUAUUAUACAACUUCAUGAAAUAUCUAACAAAUCAAAAAUUGCUUCUGAUUGUGAGACUGGAAAGGUUAAUUAAUAAAGCCAUUCUGCCUCUUCAUUGCUGCCAAGAACUCAGCAGAUAUGGAUAUCCUCCAGCAUCUUGGAUGUAGCUAAAUUGUGAAUAAAAUGCAGUGGAAAUUUUUC